This is a long non-coding RNA of Symphalangus syndactylus (siamang), 641 nucleotides long. RefSeq lists it as uncharacterized. The record is from RefSeq and is a predicted model, not a curated record. Lineage: Eukaryota; Metazoa; Chordata; Mammalia; Primates; Hylobatidae.
AGAAUGCAGUGGAAUUGAUGACGUAUGAUUUCCAAGACUAGAUCCUAAAAGGCAUUACAACUACUGCCUUGGUCUCUUGGAUCACUUGUUCUAGCGGGAGCAAGCCAUCAUGUCAAGAGAAUACUCAUGUAGGCCUGCGGAGAGAUCUAUAUGAAAAGAAACUGUGGUUCUCAGCCAAUAGCCAGCACCAACUUGUUGGUCCUGGAAUAAGCCACAUUUGGAAGUAGGUCCUAUAGCUCCAGUCAAGUCUUCUGAUAACUGCAGGCCAAUAGACAUUGAGGCACAACUACCAGCUGAGCCACUACUGAACUCCUAAUUCACCAAACUGAAAAAAAGAAAAUGAAGGGGCACCUUUUAUUCCUGUAUUAUCUUAACACAAUUUCCCUAUUAUGUUAUGUGGAAUUGAAAUACAUCUGCCCAGAGAAAAUUGAAGAAAAUGCAAAACUCAUUAUAAAGAAUGUGAAUAUUAAAAACUGGAAUAAUGAUGCUAACCUGGAACUGCAGAAACCAUGGAUCCCAUCAUCAUUAAUUUCCUGUGUUUUGAAUAGGGCAGCUUGUGGGAGGUGUAAAUGAAGCUGCUUAAGAAGCUUAAUGUGACACCCGGCGGAUGUUUCAAUCUCAGAUUCAUAAAAUAACUGGGC